RNAcentral lists this ribosomal RNA (253 nucleotides) under uncultured bacterium. RNAcentral describes it as "partial 16S ribosomal RNA". It matches the Rfam family "Bacterial small subunit ribosomal RNA", at positions 524 to 776 of the family's 1533-position model. The record is from RNAcentral.
UACGGGGGGAGCAAGCGUUGUUCGGAUUUACUGGGCGUAAAGGGCGCGUAGGCGGCAUGACAAGUCACUUGUGAAAUCUCCGGGCUUAACUCGGAACUGCCAAGUGAGACUGUCAAGCUAGAGUGCGGAAGGGGCAAUCGGAAUUCUUGGUGUAGCGGUGAAAUGCGUAGAUAUCAAGAGGAACACCUGAGGUGAAGACGGGUUGCUGGGCCGACACUGACGCUGAGGCGCGAAAGCCAGGGGAGCAAACGGG